AUCACUUCUUGGCCUUUUGGCUAAGAUCAAGUGUAGUAUCUGUUCUUAUCAGUUUAAUAUCUGAUAUGUCCCCUUUGAGGGACUUCAUAUUAAAUUGCUUUUUGGAACAGGGAGAUGGGAUUCAGUGCUUGCUCUGCCCACUCUGUGCAUCAGCCCCGUAAUUCAGUAUAUCAGGGACUGGUGCACCUUCC
Small nuclear RNA from Syngnathus acus (greater pipefish), 191 nucleotides. RefSeq annotates it as U2 spliceosomal RNA. The transcript has a single exon. Lineage: Eukaryota; Metazoa; Chordata; Actinopteri; Syngnathiformes; Syngnathidae. The record is from RefSeq and is a predicted model, not a curated record.